Molecule: long non-coding RNA, 403 nt
Filed under: Phoenix dactylifera (date palm)
Lineage: Eukaryota; Viridiplantae; Streptophyta; Magnoliopsida; Arecales; Arecaceae
Description: long non-coding RNA (PDAC_LNC009494)
Source: RNAcentral
AGGGGGAGGAUACGUGAUUGCUGGGGAUCCGGAAGCUUGGGCUCUGGGAUUUGGGGGAGAAUCACGGGCGGAAGGAGAGGGCGGAUGCGGUGGAGACGGUUGAUGAUCCGUGGAGCUCGGACGCGACGUCGGAGGCGGGAUUCCGGCUGGGAUCGGAGGACGUGGAUCCGUGGGGACCGUUGCUCCUUCUCUGACGAGGAAGAGGUGGAUGCAGAGGCGGGAUGAGGUGCGGCUUACUUGAUUUGGGAGGACGCCGUGGAAGAUGGACGGAUGCAGGAUCACUUGGAGGAGGCGGUCACGGCUUGGAUCCGGGCGCUGGGACGUUGGCAGCGAUCACGUUGAUGGCAUGGAGGAUUUGGAAGGCGCCUUGCAGCUGGGCUGGUGCACAGAGAGGUGACGGAAU